GACGAGCAGCUUUGUACCUUUGCGGUAAGAAGACUAUGACCGUUUCUCAGUACGUAACUGUCCGUACUUGCGUUCUCACGUACUCGCGAAACGUCAUCAUCGAGGCUGCGUCGGACCAGACUAGUGGCAUAUGAGCUGCGUGCUACAGCGAGGCUAAGCUAGUGGGGAUAAAGUUUCAGUGCAUUCCGUUGAUGUAGACGGCGUGAAAACGGAAACAACAAGUAUGCCGGAUCACUGUGCUGCAUACAAUUACACACUACGUCAUACGAUUGAGACAAGGAAACUUGGAAUGACUUUUCAUAGAGUGAAAGAAGCAGUUCCUCCUUAAGGUCAGAGAUUGCAGCAUCUGAGGGCCUCUUCAAAAGAAGACGUAGUUGAUGAAGGCGUUCUGGAACAGGACCAGAAAGACCACGACCAAGCAGCCUCGAGAUCUUACGCAGCGUCUCCCUCAGACCAAAGAACUACAGACUCUUCACAACCUGCUCAAACUCUUGGUACAGGACCUCAACACACGGGUCAAGAAGGUUUCCGUCUCAUUUCUACUCUGAAGCUCACCUUCUCCUGCUCAAACUGCUGACAAAUGUUUCUGCUGCUCUAAAGUCUGCUCUCCAGAACUUCCUAAAAACUCUCAAAAUCUCUUCUGCUGCAGGUUGCUUUGUAGAACUGUUGCAGAAAACCUCACUAAACCACAUGGAGUGGCCUCAAGAUAGUCGUCCAAAUGAAACCAUACAAAAACCAAACUAGUACAACCCAAACGCUAAAGUCUCCUGCAGCCUACCAGAGAACCUCUGAGAACAGAAAAUCAGGACAGGAACUCUUACCUUCUGGACAACCAACGCUGGUUCACAAACAAGAAUACAGAAUGUGUCUGACCAAAGACCUCUAAAGACUCACUACAGCCAAGAUAAAGACACAACUCAGCUGCACCAAAUCCACUAAUCACUGCACACAUUAGCACCAUGUGCUCACUGUGGCUAAAGAACCACAUUUACCAAGACAACUAUCCAGUACAAAGCCCUAAAACACACCAAGAAACACAUUAAAGAUGAUUUUACUGCUGGAAGCUGCAAGCCAACGCCUAAAGAAGAAACUAAAGCAAUGGAGCCAAACCCAGUUCAGUGGUGAAGAGAAGCAGAGGAAAUGUUUGUCUGCAGCUACAUAAAGCAGGAAGACACUGAGCUGCUCAGGUGUUCCUGAUAACACCAAGCAGCCACCUGGACAGCCAAUAGGAACACAGCUUACUGGAAGUCCAGAGGGCUGGGUUACUGAAGGAAAUUUAGUUUACAGUUGAAGCAGAAAGUUCACAAAGUUGAAAACCAACUUCUGAUACUUGAAAUCUCUGAGUUUUCACACAAAGAACACCUGAACAUGUCAAACUGGUUCCAUAGUAGAACCAUCAUUGUAAAAACGCCAUAGUAUACUAUGUCGAGAAAAAAAAUACGAUUUUUCAACAUGUUCUAAAAACAUGCCAUAUGAUGAAAUAAUGUAAAGGAGGCCGUGAAAAACACUCCAGAAAGGUUUUCUUUCAAAAAAAAAUCAUGAACUUUGUCGCAAAAAAACGCCACAGUAUACUAUGUCGAAAAAAAAUGCGAUUUUUCAACAUGUUGUAAAAACGUGCCAUAUGAUGAAAUAAUGUAAAGGAAACACAUUUUGGACCACAUACUAAACUAUGACAUUUUUGUGACAUUUUUGACGAAAUGCAAAACUAUGACGUUUCAAUGAUAUUUUUGAUGACACACUGAACUAUGAUGUUUUUACCCCAUUUUGGACGACAUACUAAACUAUGACUUUUUUCCACAUGUUGGAUGACAUACUAAACUAUGACCUUUUUUUACACAUUUUUGACGACAUACUAAACUAUGACGUUUUAUUGAUAUUUUGGACAACAAACUAAACUAUGACUUUUUUGUGACAUUUUUGACGAAAUGCUAAACUAUGACGUUUCAAUGACAUUUUUGAAGACACACUAAACUAUGACGUUUUUGUCAUAUUUUGGACGACAUAGAAGUUCUGCUUGUUCCCCAGAGUUCCUUCUUUGUGCCAGGUGAGUCCAUACUCUGUCUAUGAAGUUUUUGUGACAUUUUGGACAAAAUACUAAACUAUGAUGUUUUUUCACAUUUUGGACCACACACUAAAUUAUGACGUUUUAGUGAUAUUAUGACUUUAAUCAUUUGUUCCUUAUAUCAUUUCCAACUGAUAAAUCACAAUUUGUAGUAGAAUCGUAAUCAUAUGAUUGUCAGCAGGUAACUGACACAGUGUUCACUUGUUAUCAUGGUUACAACGACGCUGUGCCGGCCGGCAGCUAUAUCUCGCAAUGGGAAAUCCUUAACAGAGCUGUGGAACCAGACUAUAAGCCACAUCACUGUGAAAAUUUAAUAAGGUGGUCCUUGUAUCAUUUCUGACUUCCCCUGAAAAUUUCAUCCAAAUCCGUUUGUCCGUUUUUGAGUAAUGUUUCACACAGACAGACAGACAGACAGAUUCACAGACAAAUGUACGCUGAUCAUCACAAAUCUCCACCGUUCCUUGGCGGAGUAACUAUUUUUGAAUAAGCCCAUUUUAUUGUUUAGCUAAUUAGAAGGUGGUUGUUAUUAAAUUGGGAUGGUUAUUUAGUUGACAUUUUAGUGAUAUCCAGUCAUUUUUUAUGUGAUUGUUUUCAUAAUAAAUUGUGGAAUUUGUAAAGACAUGAAUAUAAUGAACAUAAAAAACAUUUUUUUUGGCUUUUAAUAAAGAUGUAUGCAAGAAAUAUCCCAUGGACUUCAAAAGUCCCUCAAUUAUAUACUGACCCAAGUGCUUUCUGCACUGUAUACUGGCAAUGCUUAAUAUUUUGGAAUUUAAAUGCAUCUUCCCCACAUUAGAUGCUCUUAAAUCUAAAAAAAAAAAGCAUCCUUUCAGCUAACGAAUGACACACUUCCACACACUCCUCCCACAUAAAGCCAGCUAACACUGAGUCAGGUUACUUCAAAAGUAUUUUAAUUAGAGUACAUUUCUUGUCCACGUUUCCAUUAAUGAACAUAUAUGCGUGUGUUGUUGACAUGACUCCAAAAUAAAAUCCUCACGCCUGAGAUAAGAGGCUGGAACACAUUGUGACCACAAAGCAGUGUCACAGGAUACUGUAUUGAUGUUACAAAAAAAAAAAAAACAUCCAGCAAAACAAGUUCCAGAAAUCCUGCUGAUCCACACAGUGUGCGGUGAAGUUGCAUCACUAAUUGCUGCGAGUGUGGGUGGAGAGCUGAUUCACAUUCGUGUUGAGCCGCUCGUCCGCCAGCAGGGGAAGACUUGCAGCAGCAGAGUUAGAAAUCUCUGUUAAAUCCCCGCAUCCCUCCACUUUUAGUUAAGCUCGUGUAUCGGAGGAAGGCUGGGCUGUGUUCACGUCGGCUCUGUUUGCCCUUCAAGGUGUAUUUAACCUCCAUCAGUAGCCCUGUGUACAUUAGCCAAUUAGAAAAAAAGGUGUCUGGUGGGAGUAAUUGUUCAGUAGUUUAAUAGUUUCUAGGAUAUAAUCAAUAUGAAGCAGCAUGAGACUGUAAAGCCGACACCUGACGAUGGCUGUCAUUUAAUAUGUAAUGUUGAUCUUUCCUUAGUCGCUCUUUUCACAUUUAGUAAGAGGUCUCUAUGGAAGCAGCGUUUUUGUUUUUUUUUUUUU
Molecule: long non-coding RNA, 3640 nt
Organism: Amphiprion ocellaris (clown anemonefish)
Lineage: Eukaryota; Metazoa; Chordata; Actinopteri; Pomacentridae
Exons: 3
Source: RefSeq, a predicted model, not a curated record